UGAGGAAUAUUGGUCAAUGGACGCAAGCCUGAACCAGCCAUCCCGCGUGCAGGAAGACGGCGCUAUGCGUUGUAAACUGCUUUUCCAGGGGGAGAAACUUGCGCACGUGUUGCGCAAUUGACGGUACCCUGGGAAUAAGCAUCGGCUAACUCCGUGCCAGCAGCCGCGGUAAUACGGAGGAUGCGAGCGUUAUCCGGAUUCAUUGGGUUUAAAGGGUGCGUAGGCGGACUAUUAAGUCAGUGGUGAAAUCCUGCAGCUUAACUGCAGAACUGCCAUUGAUACUGAUAGCCUUGAGUUUGGUUAAGGUAGGCGGAACGUGUAAUGUAGCGGUGAAAUGCUUAGAUAUUACACAGAACACCAAUUGCGUAGGCAGCUUACUGAGCCGACACUGACGCUGAGGCACGAAAGCGUGGGGAUCGAACAG
RNAcentral lists this ribosomal RNA (424 nucleotides) under uncultured bacterium. RNAcentral's name for it is "bacterial SSU rRNA". It matches the Rfam family "Bacterial small subunit ribosomal RNA", at positions 355 to 775 of the family's 1533-position model. The record is from RNAcentral.